AGAGUUUGAUCCUGGCUCAGGAUGAACGCUAGCUACAGGCUUAACACAUGCGAAGUCGAGGGGAAACGACAUCGAAAGCUUGCUUUUGAUGGUCGUCGACCGGCGCACGGGUGAGUAACGCGUAUCCAACCUGCCCAUCACUUGGGGAUAACCUUGCGAAAGUAAGACUAAUACCCAAUGAUAUCUCUAGAAGACAUCUGAAAGAGAUUAAAGAUUUAUACGGUGAUGGAUGGGGAGUGCGUCUGAUUAGCUUGUUGGCGGGGUAACGGCCCACCAAGGCAACGAUCAGUAGGGGUUCUGAGAGGAAGGUCCCCCACAUUGGAACUGAGACACGGUCCAAACUCCUACGGGAGGCAGCA
This 359-nucleotide ribosomal RNA is filed under the name uncultured bacterium. Its description in RNAcentral is "bacterial SSU rRNA". It matches the Rfam family "Bacterial small subunit ribosomal RNA", at positions 8 to 353 of the family's 1533-position model. The record is from RNAcentral.